This 596-nucleotide ribosomal RNA is filed under the name Salmacis sphaeroides. Its description in RNAcentral is "partial 16S ribosomal RNA". It matches the Rfam family "Bacterial large subunit ribosomal RNA", at positions 1816 to 2626 of the family's 2925-position model. Lineage: Eukaryota; Metazoa; Echinodermata; Echinoidea; Temnopleuroida; Temnopleuridae. The record is from RNAcentral.
CGCCCCUUGUAGAAAGUGAAAUGAGGGGUCCUGCCUGCCCAGUGACUCAAGUUAAACGGCCGCGGUAUCUUGACCGUGCAAAGGUAGCAUAAUCACUUGUCUCCUAAAUAGAGACUGGUAUGAAUGGCAAGACGGAGCUAAACUGUCUCUUUUUUUAUCCCCAAAAUUUACUAUCACGUGAAGAGGCGUGAAUAAAAUCGUUAGACGAGAAGACCCUGUCGAGCUUAAAGCAAAAAGCAAGGCUAAUCUCAGGAGUUUUUAACUACUAACUUACAAAUUUACAGCAAUAAAACUUUUAAGUUCUUGCAAAAGUUUUGGUUGGGGCAACCGCGGAAAAAGAGAAUCUUCCGCUAAAAAGUUAAUUAAAACAAGGAAAACUAUCCUAUUAUCAAAAAUGAAUGAGCGAUCCACUUAGGUGAUCAAAGGAACAAGUUACCGCAGGGAUAACAGCGUUAUCUUUUUUGAGAGUUCACAUUGACAAAAAGGUUUGCGACCUCGAUGUUGGAUCGGGACAUCCUAAGGGUGCAGAAGCUCUUAAGGGUUGGUCUGUUCGACCAUUAAAGUCCUACGUGAUCUGAGUUCAGACCGGCGAAAGC